RNAcentral lists this long non-coding RNA (1514 nucleotides) under Gossypium raimondii (Peruvian cotton). RNAcentral describes it as "long non-coding RNA (GRAI_LNC010295)". Lineage: Eukaryota; Viridiplantae; Streptophyta; Magnoliopsida; Malvales; Malvaceae. The record is from RNAcentral.
AAGGUUUUCAUUUGAAAUGGUAGGAGGAAGGCAGAGAGCCGCUUGGUUUUUCAGUUUCUGUCGCAGCUCCACCCUUCAGAUCCCCAUCUGCUCCGAUUGCGACGAGAGAGAUAGGGAUCCGACCGUCGCACUAUGAAGGUAAACUCUCCUCCUUAAGCCUCUUUUUAUUAUCUCUAUAUGUAUGUGACCCAAAAAAGAAAAAAGUAAGAAGAGAAUACAUAAAGAAAAACGAAAAAGAACCACCUUAGAAAAAUUCCAUCGAUAUUUGAUUUCUCUGUUUUUUGUAUUUCAAUAUGUCUUUUUUUUACAUUCGAUUUUCUCUCCAUAUUUUUUUAUUUUUCUUCUAUUCAAUAUGUGUGUGUACCGUUUAUAGGGGUGUGCAAAAUUCGGUUAACUGACCGAAUUCGGUUAAUCGGUCGGUUAAUCGAAUUUUUUCGGUCGGGGGUCGGUUAAUUAUUUUUUAAUUUUUCGGUUAACGGUUAAUUCGGCUCGAAACCGGUCGGUUAACCGAAUUUUUUCGGUUAACUGAAAAAAUUAAUAAAUAAAAUUAUAAUAUAUAAAUAAGCCCACUAUUCACCUAAACCCAAGUAUUCAACCCAACCCAACCCAAUCAUAAAAUUAAAUACAAAUAAUUUAUUAAAUAAAAAUAAAAUUUUAAAACUAAGACUAAAACUAAAGUCUAAAAGUCUAAAAAUAAUUUAAUUAUGUAGUGAUUCAAUUUGGUUAAUUUGGUUAAUUCGGGUAAUUCGGUUAAUUCUGUUAAUUCGGUUAAUUCGGUUAAUUUUUAACCAAAAAUAAAAAACAUAUAAUUUUCGGUUAACCGACCGAAUUAACCGAAAAAAUUUCGGUUCGGUUAAUUUUUUUGAAAAAAAUUUCGGUUCGGUUAACAGUUAAAGAUUUUGAAAGGUCGGUUAAUUCGGUUAAUGUUAUUUCGGGUCGGUUAACCGGUCGGUUAACCGAAUGAACACCCCUAACCGUUUACAGAUUCUUAAAUCGGCCUUUAUAGCCGAAAAUGAAAAAAAGAAAAUAAAAUCAAAAAAAAUCAAAAGAAAUCUGUCCUUUUUCAUUUACUGUUGAUUUCUGCUCUUUUUGUUUGCUUGUCGUUCUUGCAGGUACGACGUACGCGCAGCGUGUGGCAGUGUGUGAAGGCUGUACGGAGGCGUGCGUGGCUGGGGAGAACGGCGCUGGAAGCUGCUAGGGUUUUAGCCUCUGAUUUUGCGUUGGGCCGCUUCGUGAUUGGGCUAGGGUCUAGGCAAAUUGGGUUUAAAUUUUAAUGGGCCCUAGUGAAUUAGCAAUUUGGGCCUGAUGUUGGGUAGUUUAGGUAUUGGGUUUCUGUUAAUUGGACUUUGGGUAUGUAAUUUUGGUUUUUUUUUAAAUUGGGUUAAUGUAAUGGACAUUUGGACUUUUAAUUUUUUUAUUUUUAUAUUUGGGUUUUAAUAUCUGUAUUGGGCUGGGCAAAAUUUGGGUAUUACAAUAGUGAAAUUAAAAUCAACUUCGUAGUAUAUAUUUAAAUU